GCACAAACUUCAUGAAAAAUAGUUUAGCAUACAGUGGAGCGGUCACCUGGAAUUCUCUAAGUGAUGACAUCAAAUCAACCGAGGAUGUCAUUGCUUUCAAAACGAAGGUUUCUAAUAAUAUACGAGAUUCUCUUAGUCUCUAAUGCUUUUAUUGUAUAUAUGUAAUAUAAUCAUUCAAAUUAUCGUAAAAUUUAGUUUCCCCUUUGUUUCCCUUUCUCUCCUUUCUUCCUAUAUU
This is a non-coding RNA of Paramuricea clavata, 235 nucleotides long. The record is from the annotation of a GenBank genome assembly. Lineage: Eukaryota; Metazoa; Cnidaria; Anthozoa; Malacalcyonacea; Plexauridae.